This 240-nucleotide unclassified non-coding RNA is filed under the name soil metagenome. RNAcentral's name for it is "partial contains 5.8S ribosomal RNA, internal transcribed spacer 2, and large subunit ribosomal RNA". The record is from RNAcentral.
AACCAUAGAAACCUGCGGAGUACCUGCGGAGGGAUCAUUAUAGUAUAUGGAAUCUCCAUGCUAUAAACCCACUCUGCGUAUCUUGUAACUGUUGCUUCCAUGGGACUUGGUUCCGCCACACCGGCUUCACGGCUGGUGAGCGCCCAUGGAAGGAGAAACAAAACUCUUCUUUGAAAUGUAGUCAGUCUGAACAAGUUUUUAUAAACGUUAAAACUUUCAGCAAUGGAUCUCAGAUCGGAA